RNAcentral lists this ribosomal RNA (304 nucleotides) under Funneliformis mosseae. Its description in RNAcentral is "LSU rRNA". It matches the Rfam family "Eukaryotic large subunit ribosomal RNA", at positions 361 to 643 of the family's 3401-position model. Lineage: Eukaryota; Fungi; Glomeromycota; Glomeromycetes; Glomerales; Glomeraceae. The record is from RNAcentral.
AAGAUGAAAAGAACUUUGAAAAGAGAGUUAAACAGUACGUGAAAUUGUUGAAAGGGAAACGAUUGAAGUCAGUCAUACCAACGGGAAAUCAACCUUUUGAGCUCGGUCUCGUGGGUUUUGAAGAGUUUCAAAGCCUUCGGAUUCGCGGGAUUGGGAUCUCUUGGCGUACUUUUUCGUACGGUUAGUCAACAUCGGUUUUGAAUGUCAUAAAAUGACUGGAGGAAUGAGGCUUCGAUGACGCACUGCAGUGUUUUAGCCUUAGGAGAAAUUUCCCUCCACACAGGGACCCCAAACACAGCUUUAA